Molecule: long non-coding RNA, 616 nt
Filed under: Homo sapiens (human)
Lineage: Eukaryota; Metazoa; Chordata; Mammalia; Primates; Hominidae
Description: non-protein coding lnc-CD8B2-14:2
Source: RNAcentral
GAGGCAGGACAAUCUUAAGUAGUUAGGGAUUUUUCAAUACAGAGAAGUUUUCCAAAUGAGUCCUCUUUUCCACGCUUUUUGUCUCCAGGUCCACUCUGUUGCUUCUAAAUCCCUUGCUAUUUGGCCAAAGCACUGAGCUGGAAUGAACUGUGCACCCCUAUCUCUAGCCACCCCUCAUUCCAGGAAAUGUGGGGAAUGAAAUAUGUGGCUUGAAGUUCUGCUUACCACAGGGAGGUUCCUCCUCCACUGUCCUUUAGUGCCACUGCUGAGCUGUGAUGCCAUGCAGAGUCAUCUGUUCAGGUCCCUGAUGUCCUUGAUUGCCAGGUUUCUUAUAUGAAAUCAUCCGUGUUCUUCAGAGGUGUGGUGAUGAUAUUGAAGGUGUGUGUGUGUGAAUUCCUCUCCUCCCCAGGAGGUUCCAUGGCCCCUGUGUGCUUAGAUACCUUUUUUUUUUUUUUGAAACGGAGUUUCGCUCUUGUUGCCCAGCCUGGAGUGCAAUGGUGCAAUCUUGGCUCACCGCAACCUCCGCCUCCUGGGUUCAAGUGAUUCUCCUGUCUUAGCCUCCAGAGUAGCUGGGAUUACAGGCAUGCGCCACCACGCUCAGCUAAUUUUGUAUUUU